This 253-nucleotide ribosomal RNA is filed under the name uncultured bacterium. RNAcentral describes it as "partial 16S ribosomal RNA". It matches the Rfam family "Bacterial small subunit ribosomal RNA", at positions 524 to 776 of the family's 1533-position model. The record is from RNAcentral.
UACGAAGGGGGCUAGCGUUGCUCGGAAUCACUGGGCGUAAAGGGUGCGUAGGCGGGUCUUUAAGUCAGGGGUGAAAUCCUGGAGCUCAACUCCAGAACUGCCUUUGAUACUGAAGAUCUUGAGUUCGGGAGAGGUGAGUGGAACUGCGAGUGUAGAGGUGAAAUUCGUAGAUAUUCGCAAGAACACCAGUGGCGAAGGCGGCUCACUGGCCCGAUACUGACGCUGGUGCACGAAAGCGUGGGGAGCAAACAGG